This 611-nucleotide ribosomal RNA is filed under the name Streptomyces hygroscopicus. RNAcentral describes it as "bacterial SSU rRNA". It matches the Rfam family "Bacterial small subunit ribosomal RNA", at positions 839 to 1439 of the family's 1533-position model. The record is from RNAcentral. Lineage: Bacteria; Bacillati; Actinomycetota; Actinomycetes; Kitasatosporales; Streptomycetaceae.
GUCCGCGCCGCAGCUAACGCAUUAAGUUCCCCGCCUGGGGAGUACGGCCGCAAGGCUAAAACUCAAAGGAAUUGACGGGGGCCCCGCACAAGCGGCGGAGCAUGUGGCUUAAUUCGACGCAACGCGAAGAACCUUACCAAGGCUUGACAUACACCGGAAACCUCUGGAGACAGGGGCCCCCCUUCGUGGUCGGUGUGACAGGUGGUGCAUGGCUGUCGUCAGCUCGUGUCGUGAGAUGUUGGGUUAAGUCCCGCAACGAGCGCAACCCUUGUUCUGUGUUGCCAGCAUGCCUUUCGGGGUGAUGGGGACUCACAGGAGACUGCCGGGGUCAACUCGGAGGAAGGUGGGGACGACGUCAAGUCAUCAUGCCCCUUAUGUCUUGGGCUGCACACGUGCUACAAUGGCCGGUACAAUGAGCUGCGAAGCCGUGAGGUGGAGCGAAUCUCAAAAAGCCGGUCUCAGUUCGGAUUGGGGUCUGCAACUCGACCCCAUGAAGUCGGAGUCGCUAGUAAUCGCAGAUCAGCAUUGCUGCGGUGAAUACGUUCCCGGGCCUUGUACACACCGCCCGUCACGUCACGAAAGUCGGUAACACCCGAAGCCGGUGGCCCAAC